AGAUGAGCUUCACUGUGGUUGAGUUCACUGGCAAUGCCAUUGAGGUUGUGCCAUCUUCAUGGCUCGAAAACACUUCUGAGGGGGGCUUCCUCUGCUCCUGGACACCACUUAACAUGUGAAAGCAUGUAAUUAACUGCAGCGAGCCAAACAGAAGCUGGGCUAAACAUCCAGUCAAGAAAGUAUGGUACACAACAGAUUCCUACACCAAAGCAGACCGGAAAUGUCUGCGACUGAUGGACUCUUCAAGUGUUGAGACAGAAGAUGACGCAAAUGUUCAUCAAUCAAG
Long non-coding RNA from Eleginops maclovinus (Patagonian blennie), 286 nucleotides. RefSeq lists it as uncharacterized. NCBI's taxonomy places the organism in Eukaryota, Metazoa, Chordata, Actinopteri, Perciformes, Eleginopidae. The transcript is spliced from 3 exons. The record is from RefSeq and is a predicted model, not a curated record.